GUCCGGCUGACGAGUCCCAAAUAGGAAGAAACGCUAGUCUCGGAU
This 45-nucleotide non-coding RNA is filed under the name Schistosoma margrebowiei. Lineage: Eukaryota; Metazoa; Platyhelminthes; Trematoda; Strigeidida; Schistosomatidae. The record is from RNAcentral.